RNAcentral lists this ribosomal RNA (448 nucleotides) under Aeribacillus sp. F09D009. RNAcentral's name for it is "bacterial SSU rRNA". It matches the Rfam family "Bacterial small subunit ribosomal RNA", at positions 95 to 526 of the family's 1533-position model. The record is from RNAcentral. Lineage: Bacteria; Bacillati; Bacillota; Bacilli; Caryophanales; Bacillaceae.
GCGGCGGACGGGUGAGUAACACGUGGGCAACCUGCCCUGCAGACUGGGAUAACUUCGGGAAACCGGAGCUAAUACCGGAUAACACCGAAAACCGCAUGGUUUUCGGUUGAAAGGCGGCUUUUAGCUGUCACUGCAGGAUGGGCCCGCGGCGCAUUAGCUAGUUGGUGAGGUAACGGCUCACCAAAGGCGACGAUGCGUAGCCGACCUGAGAGGGUGACCGGCCACACUGGGACUGAGACACGGCCCAGACUCCUACGGGAGGCAGCAGUAGGGAAUCUUCCGCAAUGGACGAAAGUCUGACGGAGCAACGCCGCGUGAGCGAAGAAGGUCUUCGGAUCGUAAAGCUCUGUUGUCAGGGAAGAACAAGUGCCGUUCGAACAGGGCGGUACCUUGACGGUACCUGACGAGGAAGCCACGGCUAACUACGUGCCAGCAGCCGCGGUAAUAC